Molecule: non-coding RNA, 85 nt
Organism: Candidatus Hamiltonella defensa 5AT (Acyrthosiphon pisum)
Lineage: Bacteria; Pseudomonadati; Pseudomonadota; Gammaproteobacteria; Enterobacterales; Enterobacteriaceae
Source: Rfam
CUCUAUGGUGGACUGGAUAGGGCAACCGUAAGGUUGGCUGGUUGGUUACUCCGGUAAGGCUAACCCUGUUCAGUUCAUCACCCAA